RNAcentral lists this ribosomal RNA (481 nucleotides) under uncultured bacterium. RNAcentral's name for it is "partial 16S ribosomal RNA". It matches the Rfam family "Bacterial small subunit ribosomal RNA", at positions 30 to 507 of the family's 1533-position model. The record is from RNAcentral.
AUUGAACGCUGGCGGCAUGCCUUACACAUGCAAGUCGAACGGUAACAGGUCUUCGGAUGCUGACGAGUGGCGAACGGGUGAGUAAUACAUCGGAACGUGCCCGAUCGUGGGGGAUAACGGAGCGAAAGCUUUGCUAAUACCGCAUACGAUCUACGGAUGAAAGCAGGGGACCGCAAGGCCUUGCGCGGACGGAGCGGCCGAUGGCAGAUAGGUUGUUGGUGGGGUAAAAGCUUACCAAGCCGACGAUCUGUAGCUGGUCUGAGAGGACGACCAGCCACACUGGGACUGAGACACGGCCCAGACUCCUACGGGAGGCAGCAGUGGGGAAUUUUGGACAAUGGGCGAAAGCCUGAUCCAGCCAUGCCGCGUGCAGGAUGAAGGCCUUCGGGUUGUAAACUGCUUUUGUACGGAACGAAAAGACUCUUUCUAAUAAAGAGGGUCCAUGACGGUACCGUAAGAAUAAGCACCGGCUAACUACGUG